Molecule: ribosomal RNA, 400 nt
Filed under: phytoplankton environmental sample
Lineage: Eukaryota
Description: partial small subunit ribosomal RNA
Rfam family: Eukaryotic small subunit ribosomal RNA
Source: RNAcentral
AGCUCCGCAAGUGUAUUCCUAUACUGUUGCGUUUAAAUAGCUCGUAGUUGGAUCUGAGUGUUCAGCGUACGGUGCAGCCUUGUGUUGUUACUGUGCGCGACACAUAUAUGCCAGUGUACAGAUGAUGCUCGAAAGAGUGUUAUCGGUUGCUGGCGAGUUUACUUUGAACAAAUCAGAGUGCUCAAGACGGGCGUUUUUGCUCGAAUGUUCUUGCAUGGAAUAAUAGAAUAGGACCUCGUGUUCUAUUUUGUUGGUUUUCGGAACCGAGGUAAUGAUUAAGAGGGACAGACGGGGGCAUUUGUACUGCGACGUGAGAGGUGAAAUUCUUGGAUCGUCGCAAGACAAACUACUGCGAAAGCAUUUGCCAAGAAUGUUUUCAUUAAUCAAGAACGAAAGUAGG